AAAUAUUUAAUCUAAGAAAGACUACUAAUUUCGACUUAGUAAAUUUUGGUUAAACUCCAAAAAUAUUUU
This 69-nucleotide transfer RNA is filed under the name Hynobius tokyoensis (Tokyo salamander). RNAcentral describes it as "tRNA-Arg". It matches the Rfam family "tRNA". From Rfam's summary of the family: Transfer RNA (tRNA) molecules are approximately 80 nucleotides in length. Their secondary structure includes four short double-helical elements and three loops (D, anti-codon, and T loops). Further hydrogen bonds mediate the characteristic L-shaped molecular structure. tRNAs have two regions of fundamental functional importance: the anti-codon, which is responsible for specific mRNA codon recognition, and the 3' end, to which the tRNAs corresponding amino acid is attached (by aminoacyl-tRNA synthetases). tRNAs cope with the degeneracy of the genetic code in two manners: having more than one tRNA (with a specific anti-codon) for a particular amino acid; and 'wobble' base-pairing, i.e. permitting non-standard base-pairing at the 3rd anti-codon position. Lineage: Eukaryota; Metazoa; Chordata; Amphibia; Caudata; Hynobiidae. The record is from RNAcentral.